AGUGAACGCUGGCGGUAGGCCUAACACAUGCAAGUCGAACGGCAGCACAGUAAGAGCUUGCUCUUACGGGUGGCGAGUGGCGGACGGGUGAGGAAUACAUCGGAAUCUACUUUUUCGUGGGGGAUAACGUAGGGAAACUUACGCUAAUACCGCAUGCGACCUACGGGUGAAAGCAGGGGAUCUUCGGACCUUGCGCGAUUGAAUGAGCCGAUGUCGGAUUAGCUAGUUGGCGGGGUAAAGGCCCACCAAGGCGACGAUCCGUAGCUGGUCUGAGAGGAUGAUCAGCCGCACUGGAACUGAGACACGGUCCAGACUCCUACGGGAGGCAGCAGUGGGGAAUAUUGGACAAUGGGCGCAAGCCUGAUCCAGCCAUACCGCGUGGGUGAAGAAGGCCUUCGGGUUGUAAAGCCCUUUUGUUGGGAAAGAAAAGCAGCAGGUUAAUACCCCGCUGUUCUGACGGUACCCAAAGAAUAAGCACCGGCUAACUUCGUG
RNAcentral lists this ribosomal RNA (492 nucleotides) under uncultured bacterium. Its description in RNAcentral is "partial 16S ribosomal RNA". It matches the Rfam family "Bacterial small subunit ribosomal RNA", at positions 29 to 507 of the family's 1533-position model. The record is from RNAcentral.